RNAcentral lists this ribosomal RNA (253 nucleotides) under uncultured bacterium. RNAcentral's name for it is "partial 16S ribosomal RNA". It matches the Rfam family "Bacterial small subunit ribosomal RNA", at positions 524 to 776 of the family's 1533-position model. The record is from RNAcentral.
UACGGAGGGUGCAAGCGUUAUCCGGAUUCACUGGGUUUAAAGGGUGCGUAGGUGGCUUUGUAAGUCAGUGGUGAAAGCCCGGAGCUCAACUCCGGAACUGCCAUUGAUACUGCUUAGCUUGAAUCAGGUCGAGGUGGAUGGAAUAUUACAUGUAGCGGUGAAAUGCUUAGAGAUGUAAUAGAACACCGAUUGCGAAGGCAGUUCACUAGGCCUGUAUUGACACUGAGGCACGAAAGCGUGGGGAUCAAACAGG